Molecule: long non-coding RNA, 716 nt
Organism: Vigna angularis (adzuki bean)
Lineage: Eukaryota; Viridiplantae; Streptophyta; Magnoliopsida; Fabales; Fabaceae
Exons: 3
Source: RefSeq, a predicted model, not a curated record
CUCUUCUCAAACUUUUCUCCCACCCUCCCUCGAGCAAACUUUGUCCCCCUUCUCGAGCCCUAGCCUCUUUCUCGACCCCUCUCACUACAUCAAUCCAUCAUUCUCAAUCACUGCAACCACUAUUCUCGAGGCCUAGCUUGUCGCACUCGUUCUUGUGUUGUCAACCUCGCUGAGCCUUCUUCUCCCUUAUCGACCCUUCUUGUUUGUGCUACUAUUCUUCUUCGUUCUGUGUUUCUAUUCAGUCGAAGGACCAUUCUCCUCCGUCAUUGGAACCGUAGCUGUCGUUUUCCCUCAAUCGAACCAGAGUCGUGUCCCUAUUGGAACCCUCGUUGUGUGGUAGUGAAACCCUCAUAGUGGCAGUGUGGUUGUUGUUGCAGAGUUCUUGAAUUUUCCUAAAGUGGUUGAGCAAUCUGGGAUACUUCAUUGGGAAGGCUUAAGUGUUGUAGAGUCAAGCAAAAGAUCAAUCGAAGCAAGUUGCACUUGGUACCUGUAAUCCAGUAUACAACAAGGUUCUUUUGACAAUCAACCAAAGGUCAUAGUAAGACCUGAACCAAUAAAUAAUUGUACUUAUGCAAAUGUAGGCUUAUACAACUGUACCUAAAAUAUUAGGAGGGUUAUUUAGUUAUUUAAAUAUUGAUUUUUUGUAUUAAAAUUUUUUAGCAAAACAAUUAAACACAUCAACCAUUGUGUAGCAUAAUUUGUUUUUUCUUUAACUA